ACAAGCGGUGGAGUAUGUGGUUUAAUUCGACGCAACGCGCAGAACCUUACCAGGUCUUGACAUCCCGAUGCUAUUCUAGAGAUAGAAAGUUACUUCGGUACAUCGGUGACAGGUGGUGCAUGGUUGUCGUCAGCUCGUGUCGUGAGAUGUUGGGUUAAGUCCCGCAACGAGCGCAACCCCUAUUGUAGUUGCCAUCAUUCAGUUGGGCACUCUAGCGAGACUGCCGGUAAUAAACCGGAGGAAGGUGGGGAUGACGUCAAAUCAUCAUGCCCCUUAUGACCUGGGCUACACACGUGCUACAAUGGUUGGUACAACGAGUUGCGAGUCGGUGACGGCGAGCUAAUCUCUUAAAGCCAAUCUCAGUUCGGAUUGUAGGCUGCAACUCGCCUACAUGAAGUCGGAAUCGCUAGUAAUCGCGGAUCAGCACGCCGCGGUGAAUACGUUCCCGGGCCUU
This 454-nucleotide ribosomal RNA is filed under the name uncultured Streptococcus sp. RNAcentral describes it as "bacterial SSU rRNA". It matches the Rfam family "Bacterial small subunit ribosomal RNA", at positions 925 to 1382 of the family's 1533-position model. Lineage: Bacteria; Bacillati; Bacillota; Bacilli; Lactobacillales; Streptococcaceae. The record is from RNAcentral.